RNAcentral lists this ribosomal RNA (601 nucleotides) under uncultured fungus. Its description in RNAcentral is "eukaryotic LSU rRNA". It matches the Rfam family "Eukaryotic large subunit ribosomal RNA", at positions 37 to 652 of the family's 3401-position model. The record is from RNAcentral. Lineage: Eukaryota; Fungi.
AGCAUAUCAAUAAGCGGAGGAAAAGAAACCAACAGGGAUUACCUCAGUAACGGCGAGUGAAGCGGUAACAGCUCAAAUUUGAAAGCUAGCUCUUCUAGGGUUCGCAUUGUAAUUUGUAGAAGAUGCUUCGGGUGUGGCCCCGGUCUAAGUUCCUUGGAACAGGACGUCAUAGAGGGUGAGAAUCCCGUAUGUGACUGGGUGCUUUCGCUCAUGUGUAGCUCUUUCGACGAGUCGAGUUGUUUGGGAAUGCAGCUCAAAAUGGGUGGUAAAUUUCAUCUAAAGCUAAAUAUUGGCCAGAGACCGAUAGCGCACAAGUAGAGUGAUCGAAAGAUGAAAAGCACUUUGGAAAGAGAGUUAAACAGUACGUGAAAUUGUUGAAAGGGAAGCGCUUGCAACCAGACUUGCGCGCUGAUGAUCAUCCGGGCUUCUGCCCGGUGCACUCGUCUGCGCUCAGGCCAGCAUCGGUUUCGGUGGUGGGAUAAAGGCCUUGGGAAUGUAGCUCCUCUCGGGGAGUGUUAUAGCCCUCGGUGCAAUGCCGCCUACCGGGACCGAGGACCGCGCUUCGGCUAGGAUGCUGGCGUAAUGGUUGUAAGCGACCCGU